RNAcentral lists this ribosomal RNA (484 nucleotides) under uncultured bacterium. RNAcentral's name for it is "partial 16S ribosomal RNA". It matches the Rfam family "Bacterial small subunit ribosomal RNA", at positions 30 to 507 of the family's 1533-position model. The record is from RNAcentral.
AUUGAACGCUGGCGGCAGGCCUAACACAUGCAAGUCGAGCGGAUGAAGGGAGCUUGCUCCUGGAUUCAGCGGCGGACGGGUGAGUAAUGCCUAGGAAUCUGCCUGGUAGUGAGGGAUAACGUCCGGAAACGGGCGCUAAUACCGCAUACGUCCUGAGGGAGAAAGUGGGGGAUCUUCGGACCUCACGCUAUCAGAUGAGCCUAGGUCGGAUUAGCUAGUUGGUGGGGUAAAGGCCUACCAAGGCGACGAUCCGUAACUGGUCUGAGAGGAUGAUCAGUCACACUGGAACUGAGACACGGUCCAGACUCCUACGGGAGGCAGCAGUGGGGAAUAUUGGACAAUGGGCGAAAGCCUGAUCCAGCCAUGCCGCGUGUGUGAAGAAGGUCUUCGGAUUGUAAAGCACUUUAAGUUGGGAGGAAGGGCAGUAAGUUAAUACCUUGCUGUCUUGACGUUACCAACAGAAUAAGCACCGGCUAACUUCGUG